Pyrus x bretschneideri (Chinese white pear) is the source of this 297-nucleotide long non-coding RNA. RefSeq lists it as uncharacterized. The record is from RefSeq and is a predicted model, not a curated record. Lineage: Eukaryota; Viridiplantae; Streptophyta; Magnoliopsida; Rosales; Rosaceae. The transcript has 3 exons.
UCUCUCCCGUGCUCCUAUUUCUUCUUCUUCUUCUUUCGAACGUACGGACACCACACCAAACCCAUUAAACCUUAGCAGAUCGAGGGAACUAAGGCCAUAUUCGAGCUCGGGUGGUCGAGGGGAGCACGAUCGUACCAUUUUCAGCUCGUAGGUGGUUUGGUGAGGUCCCAAGGAGCCUCGGAGUGCUUCGUUUGAAGAGUUUUGACGUCGGGAUCACCGUGGUCGGAGUUGGCCGGUUUUGGUUGGUUUGCACAGGUGAUACGUAUCCCGAGGACGAGCGUGCUCACUCGAGGCAGG